UGGAUCCUUUCGAAAAUAAAG
Molecule: non-coding RNA, 21 nt
Filed under: Caenorhabditis elegans
Lineage: Eukaryota; Metazoa; Nematoda; Chromadorea; Rhabditida; Rhabditidae
Source: RNAcentral